CCUACGGGCGGCAGCAGUGGGGGAUAUUGGACAAUGGGGGAAACCCUGAUCCAGCGACGCCGCGUGAGUGAAGAAGUAUUUCGGUUUGUAAAGCUCUGUCAGCAGGGGAGAAAGAAAUGACGGUACCUGACAAAGAAGCCCCGGCUAACUACGUGCCAGCAGCCGCGGUAAUACGUAGGGGGCAAGCGUUAUCCGGAAUUACUGGGUGUAAAGGGAGCGUAGACGGUGAUGCAAGUCUGGAGUGAAAGGCGGGGGCCCAACCCCCGGACUGCUCUGGAAACUGUGUAACUUGAGUGCAGGAGAGGUAAGCGGAAUUCCUAGUGGAGCGGUGAAAUGCGUAGAUAUUAGGAGGAACACCAGUGGUGAAGGCGGCUUACUGGACUGUAACUGACGUUGAGGCUCGAAAGCGUGGGGAGCAAACAGGAUUAGAUACCCCUGUAGUC
This 443-nucleotide ribosomal RNA is filed under the name uncultured bacterium. RNAcentral's name for it is "partial 16S ribosomal RNA". It matches the Rfam family "Bacterial small subunit ribosomal RNA", at positions 338 to 795 of the family's 1533-position model. The record is from RNAcentral.